RNAcentral lists this transfer RNA (76 nucleotides) under Oscillibacter valericigenes. RNAcentral's name for it is "tRNA-Met". It matches the Rfam family "tRNA". From Rfam's summary of the family: Transfer RNA (tRNA) molecules are approximately 80 nucleotides in length. Their secondary structure includes four short double-helical elements and three loops (D, anti-codon, and T loops). Further hydrogen bonds mediate the characteristic L-shaped molecular structure. tRNAs have two regions of fundamental functional importance: the anti-codon, which is responsible for specific mRNA codon recognition, and the 3' end, to which the tRNAs corresponding amino acid is attached (by aminoacyl-tRNA synthetases). tRNAs cope with the degeneracy of the genetic code in two manners: having more than one tRNA (with a specific anti-codon) for a particular amino acid; and 'wobble' base-pairing, i.e. permitting non-standard base-pairing at the 3rd anti-codon position. RNAcentral also lists the same sequence under 24 other names. The record is from RNAcentral. Lineage: Bacteria; Bacillati; Bacillota; Clostridia; Eubacteriales; Oscillospiraceae.
CGCGGAGUAGAGCAGUUGGUAGCUCGUCGGGCUCAUAACCCGGAGGUCGCAGGUUCAAGUCCUGUCUCCGCAACCA